Molecule: ribosomal RNA, 456 nt
Filed under: uncultured microorganism
Description: bacterial SSU rRNA
Rfam family: Bacterial small subunit ribosomal RNA
Source: RNAcentral
GGCAGCAGUGGGGAAUUUUGGACAAUGGGGGCAACCCUGAUCCAGCCAUUCUGCGUGAGUGAAGAAGGCCUUCGGGUUGUAAAGCUCUUUCAGCUGGAAAGAAACGGUACGCACUAACAUUGUGUGCUAAUGACGGUACCAGCAGAAGAAGCACCGGCUAACUACGUGCCAGCAGCCGCGGUAAUACGGAGGGUGCAAGCGUUGAUCGGAAUCACUGGGCGUAAAGCGCUCGUAGGCGGUUUGGUCAGUCAGAUGUGAAAGCCCUCGGCUCAACCGGGGAACUGCAUUUGAUACUGCCAGACUUGAGUAUCGGAGAGGGUGGCGGAAUUCCGGGUGUAGGAGUGAAAUCCGUAGAUAUCCGGAGGAACACCAGUGGCGAAGGCGGCCACCUGGACGAUAACUGACGCUGAGGAGCGAAAGCGUGGGGAGCAAACAGGAUUAGAUACCCGGGUAGUC